This 433-nucleotide ribosomal RNA is filed under the name uncultured bacterium. RNAcentral describes it as "partial 16S ribosomal RNA". It matches the Rfam family "Bacterial small subunit ribosomal RNA", at positions 29 to 507 of the family's 1533-position model. The record is from RNAcentral.
AACGAACGCUGGCGGCAUGCCUAACACAUGCAAGUCGAACGAGACCUUCGGGUCUAGUGGCGCACGGGUGCGUAACGCGUGGGAACCUGCCCUUAGGUUCGGAAUAACUCCCCGAAAGGGGUGCUAAUACCGGAUAAUGUCUUCGGACCAAAGAUUUAUCGCCUUUGGAUGGGCCCGCGUUGGAUUAGCUAGUUGGUAGGGUAAAAGCCUACCAAGGCGACGAUCCAUAGCUGGUCUGAGAGGAUGAUCAGCCACACUGGGACUGAGACACGGCCCAGACUACGACGGGAGAGGGCAGUAGGGGAUAUUAGGGGAUGGGCGAAGGCGUGAACCAGCAAUGCGUGGUGAGAAAGAAAGGCCGGAGGGAUGUGAAGCUGUCUGAGCCGGAGGGGUAAUGAGGGUACGGGGAAAAUAAGCACGGGCUAACUCAGUG